CGAGCGGAUGACGGGAGCUUGCUCCUUGAUUCAGCGGCGGACGGGUGAGUAAUGCCUAGGAAUCUGCCUGGUAGUGGGGGACAACGUUCCGAAAGGGGCGCUAAUACCGCAUACGUCCUACGGGAGAAAGUGGGGGAUCUUCGGACCUCACGCUAUCAGAUGAGCCUAGGUCGGAUUAGCUAGUUGGUGAGGUAAUGGCUCACCAAGGCGACGAUCCGUAACUGGUCUGAGAGGAUGAUCAGUCACACUGGAACUGAGACACGGUCCAGACUCCUACGGGAGGCAGCAGUGGGGAAUAUUGGACAAUGGGCGAAAGCCUGAUCCAGCCAUGCCGCGUGUGUGAAGAAGGUCUUCGGAUUGUAAAGCACUUUAAGUUGGGAGGAAGGGCAGUAAGUUAAUACCUUGCUGUUUUGACGUUACCGACAGAAUAAGCACCGGCUAACUCUGUGCCAGCAGCCGCGGUAAUACAGAGGGUGCAAGCGUUAAUCGGAAUUACUGGGCGUAAAGCGCGCGUAGGUGGUUCGUUAAGUUGGAUGUGAAAGCCCCGGGCUCAACCUGGGAACUGCAUCCAAAACUGGCGAGCUAGAGUAUGGUAGAGGGUGGUGGAAUUUCCUGUGUAGCGGUGAAAUGCGUAGAUAUAGGAAGGAACACCAGUGGCGAAGGCGACCACCUGGACUGAUACUGACACUGAGGUGCGAAAGCGGUGGGGAGCAAACAGGAUUAGAUACCCUGGUAGUCCACGCCGUAAACGAUGU
This 755-nucleotide ribosomal RNA is filed under the name Pseudomonas plecoglossicida. Its description in RNAcentral is "bacterial SSU rRNA". It matches the Rfam family "Bacterial small subunit ribosomal RNA", at positions 63 to 812 of the family's 1533-position model. Lineage: Bacteria; Pseudomonadati; Pseudomonadota; Gammaproteobacteria; Pseudomonadales; Pseudomonadaceae. The record is from RNAcentral.